RNAcentral lists this unclassified non-coding RNA (229 nucleotides) under plant metagenome. Its description in RNAcentral is "partial contains small subunit ribosomal RNA, internal transcribed spacer 1, and 5.8S ribosomal RNA". The record is from RNAcentral.
UCUCCGUAGGUGAACCUGCGGAGGGAUCAUUACAGAGUUCAUGCCCUACCGGGUAGAUCUCCCACCCUAUGUUAUUAUUACUUUGUUGCUUUGGCGGGCCGUUAGGCUCCGGCCCGACUACCGGCCCCGGCUGGUAAGCGCCCGCCAGAGGACCCAAAACCCUGAAUAUUAGUGUCGUCUAAGUACUAUAUAAUAGUUAAAACUUUCAACAACGGAUCUCUUGGUUCUG